Molecule: long non-coding RNA, 1109 nt
Organism: Sycon ciliatum
Lineage: Eukaryota; Metazoa; Porifera; Calcarea; Leucosolenida; Sycettidae
Exons: 2
Source: RefSeq, a predicted model, not a curated record
AAAUCCCUUUUGUACGGUGGUACUGGUAAGGAUUUGAAAUUUCUUCUCGCAUCAACCCUCGACGUGCUACCUUCUCCGACGAACCUACGCCGUUGGGGAAACACCGUAGUGGAUCCGUACUGUAGUUUGUGCCGUACCUGGGCCUGUACUACGCGCCACCUGCUUGGCGCUUGUCGCGUAGCGCUGGACCAGGGACGUUACACCUGGAGGCACGACAACGUACUCGGGGUCAUCGUCAGGAACAUGCGUGAGGAGAUUCGAAUCCGCGCUGCUGCAAACACCGUACAAACCGAAAAUUCAAAUGAGCUUGACUUCAUCUCGUUUUGCAAGGCGGGAGAGAAGCCAGUUCGCGUUCAGCCCAGACGAAAGUUGGUUACGACUGAUCUCCUGUCAGCGGCCUCAGACUGGAAACUUCUUGUCGACUCAGUUAGUGCAAAGAUUUCUUUCCCUAGCUGUGUUGCACUUACCACCCUCAGACCAGAUAUAGUUCUGUACUCUACGAGUCGUAGGAUUGUAUUCUGGAUGGAGUUGACAGUUUGUGCUGAGGACAGAUUCAGUGUCAGUAACUCGCGGAAGGACAGGCGGUAUGCGGAUCUGGCCGAUCAAUGCCGAGCAAACGGGUGGCAGGUCGUUUCUUUUUCGGUUGAGUAAGACGUCUCUGCGAAGCAGCUACAUCAUCUGGUUGCGGCGUCAACAAAAACACUGGUCGGAAGAUCCACUUUUCUGAGGUACUGUAUGUGGGGCUCCGUUUAUUGAGGUGCGUUGAAAUUUAUUCUCUUUAUCUUAUUAUUUCUUUUCUAUAAUUUCCCCAUAUGAGUUCCUAUCAGUUGCUGUGAACACCUUGAGUGGAGAGCGCUUGCUCGAGCGUUGAACCGGGUUCUUAAUCCACCAUACCCAGUUCGCAAGGCUGGGCGGGGUUGUGAGCAGGCUUUCAUUUCAUCUUUUCUUAUUAUUUCUUAUUAUUUCUGCUUUUCAUCUCAUUACAAAAAUUCUGCGCUUUUUCUCCAUCUGCGCAUAAAAUCUAGACUGACAACCUGCUUGUUAAAUCAUGCACCUGCUUUCAGGCGUAAAAACCCUGUUGUAGAGGUCUCAGUCCUCAUUUGUUAGAC